Molecule: ribosomal RNA, 1358 nt
Filed under: uncultured bacterium
Lineage: Bacteria
Description: bacterial SSU rRNA
Rfam family: Bacterial small subunit ribosomal RNA
Source: RNAcentral
GAUGAACGCUAGCUACAGGCUUAACACAUGCAAGUCGAGGGGCAGCAUGGUCUUAGCUUGCUAAGGCCGAUGGCGACCGGCGCACGGGUGAGUAACACGUAUCCAACCUGCCGUCUACUCUUGGACAGCCUUCUGAAAGGAAGAUUAAUACAAGAUGGCAUCAUGAGUCCACAUGUUCACAUGAUUAAAGGUAUUCCGGUAGACGAUGGGGAUGCGUUCCAUUAGAUAGUAGGCGGGGUAACGGCCCACCUAGUCUUCGAUGGGUAGGGGUUCUGAGAGGAAGGUCCCCCACAUUGGAACUGAGACACGGUCCAAACUCCUACGGGAGGCAGCAGUGAGGAAUAUUGGUCAAUGGGCGAGAGCCUGAACCAGCCAAGUAGCGUGAAGGAUGACUGCCCUAUGGGUUGUAAACUUCUUUUAUAAAGGAAUAAAGUCGGGUAUGGAUACCCGUUUGCAUGUACUUUAUGAAUAAGGAUCGGCUAACUCCGUGCCAGCAGCCGCGGUAAUACGGAGGAUCCGAGCGUUAUCCGGAUUUAUUGGGUUUAAAGGGAGCGUAGAUGGAUGUUUAAGUCAGUUGUGAAAGUUUGCGGCUCAACCGUAAAAUUGCAGUUGAUACUGGAUAUCUUGAGUGCAGUUGAGGCAGGCGGAAUUCGUGGUGUAGCGGUGAAAUGCUUAGAUAUCACGAAGAACUCCGAUUGCGAAGGCAGCCUGCUAAGCUGCAACUGACAUUGAGGCUCGAAAGUGUGGGUAUCAAACAGGAUUAGAUACCCUGGUAGUCCACACGGUAAACGAUGAAUACUCGCUGUUUGCGAUAUACAGCAAGCGGCCAAGCGAAAGCGUUAAGUAUUCCACCUGGGGAGUACGCCGGCAACGGUGAAACUCAAAGGAAUUGACGGGGGCCCGCACAAGCGGAGGAACAUGUGGUUUAAUUCGAUGAUACGCGAGGAACCUUACCCGGGCUUAAAUUGCAGAUGAAUUACGGUGAAAGCCGUAAGCCGCAAGGCAUCUGUGAAGGUGCUGCAUGGUUGUCGUCAGCUCGUGCCGUGAGGUGUCGGCUUAAGUGCCAUAACGAGCGCAACCCUUGUUGUCAGUUACUAACAGGUUCCGCUGAGGACUCUGACAAGACUGCCAUCGUAAGAUGUGAGGAAGGUGGGGAUGACGUCAAAUCAGCACGGCCCUUACGUCCGGGGCUACACACGUGUUACAAUGGGGGGUACAGAGGGCCGCUACCACGCGAGUGGAUGCCAAUCCCAAAAACCUCUCUCAGUUCGGACUGGAGUCUGCAACCCGACUCCACGAAGCUGGAUUCGCUAGUAAUCGCGCAUCAGCCACGGCGCGGUGAAUACGUUCCCGGGCCU